Molecule: ribosomal RNA, 502 nt
Filed under: uncultured bacterium
Lineage: Bacteria
Description: bacterial SSU rRNA
Rfam family: Bacterial small subunit ribosomal RNA
Source: RNAcentral
GAUCCUGGCUCAGGAUGAACGCUAGCUACAGGCUUAACACAUGCAAGUCGAGGGGAAACGAUAGAGAAAGCUUGCUUUUUCUAGGCGUCGACCGGCGCACGGGUGAGUAACGCGUAUCCAACCUGCCCAUCACUUGGGGAUAACCUUGCGAAAGUAAGACUAAUACCCAAUGACGUCUCUAGAAGACAUCUGAAAGAGAUUAAAGAUUUAUCGGUGAUGGAUGGGGAUGCGUCUGAUUAGCUUGUUGGCGGGUAACGGCCCACCAAGGCGACGAUCAGUAGGGGUUCUGAGAGGAAGGUCCCCCACAUUGGAACUGAGACACGGUCCAAACUCCUACGGGAGGCAGCAGUGAGGAAUAUUGGUCAAUGGACGAGAGUCUGAACCAGCCAAGUAGCGUGCAGGAUGACGGCCCUAUGGGUUGUAAACUGCUUUAUAAGGGAAUAAAGUGAGUCUCGUGAGACUUUUGCAUGUACCUUAUGAAUAAGGACCGGCUAAUUCCGUG